GAGGGCUGGAUGGCCGCGGUGCCGGUCCGCCGGUGUCGAGGAAAGUCCGGACUCCCUGAAGCGGCGGUGCCGGGUAACGCCCGGGCGGGGAAACCCGACGGACAGCGCCACAGAGAACAGACCGCCCCGGCCUGCCCGGGGUAAGGGUGAAACGGUGGGGUAAGAGCCCACCGGGGGGCUGGCAACAGUCCCCGCAUGGCAAGCCCCACCGGGAGCAAUGCCGAAUAGGGAUCCCGCACGGGGGGCUUCACCCCGGGAUCCGGGUUGGCAGCUUGAGGCCCCGCGCGAGCGGUGGUCCAGAGGAAUGGCCAUCCAGCCUCGGACCACGGUGCGGGGUGGACAGAAUCCGGCUUACAGGCCCUCC
Molecule: RNase P RNA, 364 nt
Filed under: marine eukaryotic metagenome
Description: Bacterial RNase P class A
Rfam family: Bacterial RNase P class A
About the family: Ribonuclease P (RNase P) is a ubiquitous endoribonuclease, found in archaea, bacteria and eukarya as well as chloroplasts and mitochondria. Its best characterised activity is the generation of mature 5'-ends of tRNAs by cleaving the 5'-leader elements of precursor-tRNAs.
Source: RNAcentral